GGCGGGGGCGGCGAGCGCGCGUCCCCCCGCCCGCUCAGGCAGCGUCGAGGCGCGAGCAGCUCAGCCAGCCUUGCAGAGGGAGCUCUCGGCAGCUCUGGGGUCCCUCUGCUCGCAGCCGCAGCAGCGCCGCCUGCGCCACUCGGCGGAGACGGAGACCAGCGGCGGCGGCGCGCGGACUGGGAGCGACCGCUGAGCAGCCGACCGGCAGGGGUAUGCUUGCAGAGCGGCCGGGAAGCACCUGCGGAUUCUACCCAACCAGCGAUGAAGUUCACCGACCACAGACUGGAAGAUGUUCUGGUGACCCAGAGAGGAGAGCCUUUGGUACUUAGGGGAAUCUGACUCGGGACUGUAUUGUGAACUCCCAUACCUUAGAUGUCACGGACAACAAACGGACCCAGCAUCAAGGAGACAGUUUUUGCUCCAUUCAGCUGAUUGUUCUAUUAUGAGGAUGCCAGUCCAAUAUUGACAUUUUCUCGGGGUUUUGUUGAAAAAGGGAAUCAGAAAUCUAGAUUUUUGUAAUGUAAAAUCUUCAGGUAUUUAGGUGUUAGCAACUCAGGUGUUUUUAAACUAUAUGAGCUGAUUAAACCAUAUAUAUGUGUGUGGGCUAUCACUUGGAGGAAAGAGUGAAGAGAAAUUCCAAGGCCAGAUCCUAGACACUCCAGCAUUUAGGAAUAGGAUAAUGGAGAAGGAAACUAAAAGGGGGCAGCCAGGAAGACAGAAAAAAAUCCACAAGCAUGUUGAAUUUGGAAUCCAUGGGCAGAGAAGGUUUCCGUAGGGGGGAGUGGUCAACUGUGUCUAAUGCUGCUGAGAGGUCAACUUGGGCCAGAGACAUGGCUUUUGGAUUGGUCACCUUGGAAUUCAAUGGAGAAUAUCAUUGGCAAAUUUGGCUUGAUUCAUGUUGGUAAAUCGAGACUUGGACCUCACUAGAAUGGGUUGAGAAUGAAUGGAAAAGUAAGGAAAUAGAGACAGCACACGUAGGCAACAUGAGAAGUUUUGCUGUGAAGGGAGCAAAGAAAUUUAGAGAUAACUGGAAAGAUACGGGCUCAAGGGAGGAGAUGUUUUAAAAAAUGGUAGGGUUCUGGAGCAUGUUUAUGUGCCAUUGGGAGUGAUAUAGGAGAGAGAAGGCUUGCUUGACCUAUAUAGGAGUGAAAUCCAUGAGAGGAUAUAAGGAAACUAGGAGGACUAACCUUGGAUAGGAACAGGAUGCUUCCAUUGUGAUAAUGGGUAAUAAAGGUGAAGAUCAAUGCAAAUGCUGGUGAGGAUAGGGGGAGCAAGCGUACAACUUUCCUAGUAGGACUGCCUUGGCAGCAUUGGGUACCCAUUUGAAGUUUGUGAUCAUGAAUUUAAAGUUAAACCAGUUGGCCUAGUAUGUUUUUUUCCAGCAAUAUUCAGCUGCUUAGGUACAGACAUGCAGGAAAGAGAUAAUUUGGUUUCUCAACACCAGGGCCCAAGUUUUCUGGUUCCUAAUCUCAGGUACUUGCCUUAUUAAUCACCUACUUAAUAUUCUAGAAAUGUGUGAAUAUUUGAAAAAUUUACAUGUGACCCCUUUUUAUAGAAACCAAAUGAUUCCCUUUGUCUCUUAUGUAUACCCGAGGACUCAAAAAUAAAGGCAAACUUAGUGGAAAUUACCAGAUA
Long non-coding RNA from Leptonychotes weddellii (Weddell seal), 1635 nucleotides. RefSeq lists it as uncharacterized. Lineage: Eukaryota; Metazoa; Chordata; Mammalia; Carnivora; Phocidae. The record is from RefSeq and is a predicted model, not a curated record.